UGAACGCUGGCGGCGUGCCUAAUACAUGCAAGUCGAACGAAACUUCUUUAUCACCGAGUGCUUGCACUCACCGAUAAAGAGUUGAGUGGCGAACGGGUGAGUAACACGUGGGCAACCUGCCCAAAAGAGGGGGAUAACACUUGGAAACAGGUGCUAAUACCGCAUAACCAUAGUUACCGCAUGGUAACUAUGUAAAAGGUGGCUAUGCUACCGCUUUUGGAUGGGCCCGCGGCGCAUUAGCUAGUUGGUGGGGUAAAGGCUUACCAAGGCAAUGAUGCGUAGCCGAACUGAGAGGUUGAUCGGCCACAUUGGGACUGAGACACGGCCCAAACUCCUACGGGAGGCAGCAGUAGGGAAUCUUCCACAAUGGGCGAAAGCCUGAUGGAGCAACGCCGCGUGGGUGAAGAAGGUCUUCGGAUCGUAAAACCCUGUUGUUAGAGAAGAAAGUGCGUGAGAGUAACUGUUCACGUUUCGACGGUAUCUAACCAGAAAGCCACGGCUAACUACGUGCCAGCAGCCGCGGUAAUACGUAGGUGGCAAGCGUUAUCCGGAUUUAUUGGGCGUAAAGGGAACGCAGGCGGUCUUUUAAGUCUGAUGUGAAAGCCUUCGGCUUAACCGGAGUAGUGCAUUGGAAACUGGGAGACUUGAGUGCAGGAGAGGAGAGUGGAACUCCAUGUGUAGCGGUGAAAUGCGUAGAUAUAUGGAAGAACACCAGUGGCGAAAGCGGCUCUCUGGUCUGUAACUGACGCUGAGGUUCGAAAGCGUGGGUAGCAAACAGGAUUAGAUACCCUGGUAGUCCACGCCGUAAACGAUGAAUGCUAAGUGUUGGAGGGUUUCCGCCCUUCAGUGCUGCAGCUAACGCAAU
Molecule: ribosomal RNA, 865 nt
Filed under: uncultured Bacillota bacterium
Lineage: Bacteria; Bacillati; Bacillota
Description: bacterial SSU rRNA
Rfam family: Bacterial small subunit ribosomal RNA
Source: RNAcentral